UGCUGAUCAUUUUUGCUGUUUACAGUUUAUCUUUAUCUAUAAUAAUAUUCAAGAUAAUGACCAAAAACUGCAAAAUUUCCUUAAAAUUACCAAUUAAGUGGCAGCAACCCAACAAUGGUUUGUUUGAUUCAUCUGAAAAUUUCAGGGCUGAUAGAUCUUGACCUAAUGAACAUUUUUACCCCCUGUCAGAUUUGCUCUAAAUGCUUUCGUUUUUGAGAUAUAAGCCAAAAACUGCAUUUGACCCCUGUGUUCUAUUUUAAGUAACGGCGGCCAUGUUUUUUGACGGAUCAAAAAUCGAAGCACACACUUUGUGCAGGAUAAUCUAAGGAACAAUCAUGCUAAGUUUCAUUCAAAUCCAUUCAGUAGUUUCAGAGGAGAAGAUGUUUGAAAAAUUGUUAACGACGACAGACGACGACGACGACGGACGCCAAGUGAUGAGAAAAGCUCACAUGGCCUUUUAGGCCAGGUGAGCUAAAAACAGCAAAAUUUCCUUAAAAUUACCAUUUCAGGG
This 511-nucleotide long non-coding RNA is filed under the name Mytilus galloprovincialis (Mediterranean mussel). The record is from RNAcentral. Lineage: Eukaryota; Metazoa; Mollusca; Bivalvia; Mytilida; Mytilidae.